CCACACUGGAACUGAGACACGGUCCAGACUCCUACGGGAGGCAGCAGUGGGGAAUAUUGCACAAUGGGCGCAAGCCUGAUGCAGCCAUGCCGCGUGUGUGAAGAAGGCCUUCGGGUUGUAAAGCACUUUCAGCAGGGAGGAAGAGUCACAUAGUUAAUACCUAGUGGCAUUGACGUUACUCGCAGAAGAAGCACCGGCUA
Molecule: ribosomal RNA, 200 nt
Filed under: uncultured bacterium
Lineage: Bacteria
Description: partial 16S ribosomal RNA
Rfam family: Bacterial small subunit ribosomal RNA
Source: RNAcentral